RNAcentral lists this ribosomal RNA (188 nucleotides) under uncultured bacterium. RNAcentral's name for it is "partial 16S ribosomal RNA". It matches the Rfam family "Bacterial small subunit ribosomal RNA", at positions 1306 to 1500 of the family's 1533-position model. The record is from RNAcentral.
UGCAACCCGACUCCACGAAGUUGGAUUCGCUAGUAAUCGCGCAUCAGCCAUGGCGCGGUGAAUACGUUCCCGGGCCUUGUACACACCGCCCGUCCAAGCCAUGGGAGCCGGGGGCGCCUGAAGUCCGGGACCGCGAGGACCGGCCUAGGGCGAAACUGGUAACUGGGGCUAAGUCGUAACAAGGUACC